AGGAGACUAUGCAAGUUGAGUGCUGGU
RNAcentral lists this non-coding RNA (27 nucleotides) under Mus musculus (house mouse). RNAcentral also lists the same sequence under 1 other name. The record is from RNAcentral. Lineage: Eukaryota; Metazoa; Chordata; Mammalia; Rodentia; Muridae.